GUUUUGCAUACCAAAUUCAUUUGCUUCCUUUUUCAUUCAGUGGAAAUGCCUCUCAUAUGGAAAACUUCAACCAAAAUUCUGGUGUACUUUAUUUUUUGCCAUAUCUUGGUCAAUUUGGCUCACAAGGAAUGAAAGGAUAUUUAACAAUAAAGAGAUUCCAAUAUCAUCUCUUUAUGCCCUCAUACUUUUUCGAGUUGCCAUUUGGAGGAAGGCAAGUGAUCCAAAUUUUCCUUUCUCUGGAAAUGACCUGUUAAUCUCCUCAUCUUCGGUUCGUUCUUGGACCAACAAUGGUAGUUCCAAGUCUCUUGUUUCAUGGAACGCUCCACCACCAAACGACUUGAAAUGGAAUGUAGAUGGGUCUUCAAGAGGUAAACCAGGUGCAAGUGCAAUUGGAGGUGUCUUAAGAUAUUUCCUAAGCCAUUUUGUCUGUAUUUUCUUUUGCCCAAUUGGUAUAGAUGAGAGCAAUUCUGCAGAACUAAAAGCAAUUGAGUGAGCACUCUCCCUGCUGGUCUCAAAACCUUCCUUACUGCAUAAUACUGAGUCCGUUUUCCUUGAAUCAGAUUCACAAAACGCUCUAUCUUGGGUGAAGAAUCCUAACUCAGCUCCAUGGCGUCUGUCAUAUAUCAUUAAUUCUGUUCUUGUUAAUCAACAACUGCUUCCUUCUAUUGAUUUCAACUUUAUUCUGCGAGAGGCAAACUUUGUUGCAGACUGCUUAGCAAAACAGGGGAUUUCAAGAAUAGCAAAUUUUAUUGCUUUUUUCUGAUAUUGACUUUGGCAUAUCUAGUUUAUCUCCACUUAGCUGUUGUUGCUUAACCUUCAUGAAGUUGUUGUUGCUGUUAUAGAUCGUCUUUGGCACUUCUGUUGUUCUCUUUUGCAACCUUUUGUCUUUGAUGUUUGGGUAUUACUUUUGUUCUAUGGUUGUUAGUUUUUUUUGUUUUAGAUCAGUUCUUAGUUUUGUAUUGUUUUCUAGGUAUUUUCACUUAGUAUGAACGUCGUAAGUCGGGUGUAUUUGGUUCAAUCUGUUGAUCGGGGUUAGUCGGAUGUUCUCAUAUUAAGUUUUUCCUAAUUUAUUUUCCUAUUAAUAAAAUGAAUUGCUUAUCAAAAAAGAAAAAAGUGAUAAGCAACUUGCCACUGGUAACUCUGAUAAUACUUAACCAGAUUUUUGUCAAAGGUAAAUCAAAACGCUAUGCAAGGAAAAGAACAGAAAAGGAUAGACUCAAUACAAUCUAGUUGGAUUAUGCUAUAUGGGUCAUUUUCUUCCAUUCCAAUUGGUUUAAGGUUACAUCUACAUAAAAAUCU
This 1299-nucleotide unclassified non-coding RNA is filed under the name Hevea brasiliensis (rubber tree). Lineage: Eukaryota; Viridiplantae; Streptophyta; Magnoliopsida; Malpighiales; Euphorbiaceae. The record is from RNAcentral.